GACGAACGCUGGCGGCGUGCUUAACACAUGCAAGUCGAACGGAAAGGCCCUGCUUUUGUGGGGUGCUCGAGUGGCGAACGGGUGAGUAACACGUGAGUAACCUGCCCUUGACUUUGGGAUAACUUCUGGAAACUGGGGCUAAUACCGGAUAGGAGCUCCUGCUGCAUGGUGGGGGUUGGAAAGUUUCGGCGGUUGGGGAUGGACUCGCGGCUUAUCAGCUUGUUGGUGGGGUAGUGGCUUACCAAGGCUUUGACGGGUAGCCGGCCUGUGAGGGUGACCGGCAACAUUGGGACUGAGAUACGGCGCAGACGCCAACGGGAGGCAGCAGUGGGGAAUAUUGCACAAUGGGGGGAAGCCUGAUGCAGCAACGCCGCGUGCGGGAUGACGGCCUUCGGGUUGUAAACCGCUUUCGCCUGUGACGAAGCGUGAGUGACGGUAAUGGGUAAAGAAGCACCGGCUAACUACGUG
Molecule: ribosomal RNA, 468 nt
Filed under: uncultured bacterium
Lineage: Bacteria
Description: partial 16S ribosomal RNA
Rfam family: Bacterial small subunit ribosomal RNA
Source: RNAcentral